UCGGAGUGCUUGCACUCUGUGAAACAAGAUACAGGCUAGCGGCGGACGGGUGAGUAACACGUGGGUAACCUGCCCAAGAGAUCGGGAUAACACCUGGAAACAGAUGCUAAUACCGGAUAACAACAGAUGAUGCCUAUCAACUGUUUAAAAGAUGGUUCUGCUAUCACUCUUGGAUGGACCUGCGGUGCAUUAGCUAGUUGGUAGGGUAACGGCCUACCAAGGCGAUGAUGCAUAGCCGAGUUGGGAGACUGAUCGGCCACAUUGGGACUGAGACACGGCCCAAACUCCUACGGGAGGCAGCAGUAGGGAAUCUUCCACAAUGGACGCAAGUCUGAUGGAGCAACGCCGCGUGAGUGAAGAAGGGUUUCGGCUCGUAAAGCUCUGUUGUUGGUGAAGAAGGACGGGGGUAGUAACUGACCUUUGUUUGACGGUAAUCAAUUAGAAAGUCACGGCUAACUACGUGCCAGCAGCCGCGGUAAUACGUAGGUGGCAAGCGUUGUCCGGAUUUAUCGGGCGUAAAGCGAGUGCAGGCGGUUCGAUAAGUCUGAUGUGAAAGCCUUCGGCUCAACCGGAGAAUUGCAUCAGAAACUGUCGAGCUUGAGUACAGAAGAGGAGAGUGGAACUCCAUGUGUAGCGG
This 637-nucleotide ribosomal RNA is filed under the name uncultured bacterium. RNAcentral describes it as "bacterial SSU rRNA". It matches the Rfam family "Bacterial small subunit ribosomal RNA", at positions 71 to 681 of the family's 1533-position model. The record is from RNAcentral.